Molecule: ribosomal RNA, 492 nt
Filed under: uncultured bacterium
Lineage: Bacteria
Description: partial 16S ribosomal RNA
Rfam family: Bacterial small subunit ribosomal RNA
Source: RNAcentral
AGUGAACGCUGGCGGUAGGCCUAACACAUGCAAGUCGAGCGGCAGCACAGUAAGAGCUUGCUCUUACGGGUGGCGAGUGGCGGACGGGUGAGGAAUACAUCGGAAUCUACUUUUUCGUGGGGGAUAACGUAGGGAAACUUACGCUAAUACCGCAUACGACCUACGGGUGAAAGCAGGGGAUCUUCGGACCUUGCGCGAUUGAAUGAGCCGAUGUCGGAUUAGCUAGUUGGCGGGGUAAAGUCCCACCAAGGCGACGAUCCGUAGCUGGUCUGAGAGGAUGAUCAGCCACACUGGAACUGAGACACGGUCCAGACUCCUACGGGAGGCAGCAGUGGGGAAUAUUGGACAAUGGGCGAAAGCCUGAUCCAGCCAUACCGCGUGGGUGAAGAAGGCCUUCGGGUUGUAAAGCCCUUUUGUUGGGAAAGAAAAGCAGCAGGUUAAUACCCCGAUGUUCUGACGGUACCCAAAGAAUAAGCACCGGCUAACUUCGUG